UACAGAGGGGGCAAGCGUUAUUCGGAAUUACUGGGCGUAAAGGGCGCGUAGGCGGCCAGCGCAAGUCAGUUGUGAAAUCUCUGAGCUUAACUCGGAAAGGUCAACUGAUACUGCGCGGCUAGAGUGCAGAAGGGGCAACUGGAAUUCUCGGUGUAGCGGUGAAAUGCGUAGAUAUCGAGAGGAACACCUGCGGCGAAGGCGGGUUGCUGGGCUGACACUGACGCUGAUGCGCGAAAGCCAGGGGAGCGAACGGG
This 254-nucleotide ribosomal RNA is filed under the name uncultured bacterium. RNAcentral describes it as "partial 16S ribosomal RNA". It matches the Rfam family "Bacterial small subunit ribosomal RNA", at positions 524 to 776 of the family's 1533-position model. The record is from RNAcentral.